RNAcentral lists this ribosomal RNA (253 nucleotides) under uncultured bacterium. RNAcentral's name for it is "partial 16S ribosomal RNA". It matches the Rfam family "Bacterial small subunit ribosomal RNA", at positions 524 to 776 of the family's 1533-position model. The record is from RNAcentral.
GACGUAGGGCGCGAGCGUUGUCCGGAUUUAUUGGGCGUAAAGAGCUCGUAGGCGGCUUGUCGCGUCGACUGUGAAAACCCGGGGCUCAACUCCGGGCCUGCAGUCGAUACGGGCUGGCUUGGGUGCGGUAGGGGAGACUGGAAUUCCUGGUGUAGCGGUGAAAUGCGCAGAUAUCAGGAGGAACACCAAUGGCGAAGGCAGCUCGCUGGGACGGUACUGACGCUGAGGCGCGAAAGCGUGGGGAGCAAACAGG